This 338-nucleotide unclassified non-coding RNA is filed under the name soil metagenome. Its description in RNAcentral is "partial contains 5.8S ribosomal RNA, internal transcribed spacer 2, and large subunit ribosomal RNA". The stretch from base 1 to 121 matches the Rfam family "5.8S ribosomal RNA", at positions 35 to 154 of the family's 154-position model. The record is from RNAcentral.
GAUGAAGAACGUAGCGAAAUGCGAUAAGUAAUGCGAAUUGCAGAAUUUCCGUGAGUCAUCGAAUCUUUGAACGCACAUUGCGCCCCUUGGUAUUCCGAGGGGCAUGCCUGUUCGAGCGUCAUUACACCACUCAAGCUAUGCUUGGUAUUGGGCGUCGUCCUUAGUUGGGCGCGCCUUAAAGACCUCGGCGAGGCCACUCCGGCUUUAGGCGUAGUAGAAUUUAUUCGAACGUCUGUCAAAGGAGAGGAACUCUGCCGACUGAAACCUUUAUUUUUCUAGGUUGACCUCGGAUCAGGUAGGGAUACCCGCUGAACUUAAGCAUAUCAAUAAGCGGAGGA